RNAcentral lists this transfer RNA (89 nucleotides) under Microbacterium sp. RNAcentral describes it as "tRNA-Leu". Lineage: Bacteria; Bacillati; Actinomycetota; Actinomycetes; Micrococcales; Microbacteriaceae. The record is from RNAcentral.
GCCCCUGUGAUGGAACCGGCAGACAUGCGGCGCUCAAACCGCCGUGCCCCGUGAGGGGCGUCCGGGAUCGACACCCGGCGGGGGCACCA